GACGAACGCUGGCGGCGUGCUUAACACAUGCAAGUCGAACGGUAAGGCCCUUCGGGGUACACGAGUGGCGAACGGGUGAGUAACACGUGGGUGAUCUGCCCUGCACUUCGGGAUAAGCCUGGGAAACUGGGUCUAAUACCGGAUAGGACCCUGGGAUGCAUGUCCUGGGGUGGAAAGCUUUUGCGGUGUGGGAUGGGCCCGCGGCCUAUCAGCUUGUUGGUGGGGUGAUGGCCUACCAAGGCGACGACGGGUAGCCGGCCUGGGAGGGUGACCGGCCACACUGGGACUGAGAGACGGCCCAGACUCCUACGGGAGGCAGCAGUGGGGAAUAUUGCACAAGGGGCGCAAGCCUGAUGCAGCGACGCCGCGUGAGGGAUGACGGCCUUCGGGUUGUAAACCUCUUUCAGCACCGACGAAGCGCAAGUGACGGUAGGUGCAGAAGAAGGACCGGCCAACUACGUGCCAGCCGCCGCCGUAA
Molecule: ribosomal RNA, 478 nt
Filed under: uncultured bacterium
Lineage: Bacteria
Description: partial 16S ribosomal RNA
Rfam family: Bacterial small subunit ribosomal RNA
Source: RNAcentral